Long non-coding RNA from Pogoniulus pusillus (Red-fronted tinkerbird), 546 nucleotides. RefSeq lists it as uncharacterized. NCBI's taxonomy places the organism in Eukaryota, Metazoa, Chordata, Aves, Piciformes, Lybiidae. The record is from RefSeq and is a predicted model, not a curated record. The transcript has 2 exons.
GCCCGCGGGAGGAGCGGCGGGGCUGCGGCUGGCUCCUCCGGUGCCCGCGGGAGGCCGCCCCGGGGCUCGCCGGUGAGCGUUGGGACGCAGCAAAGUGUGGCUGCAGAGCCGCUGCCUCUCAGCCUGGAGAGAGGAGCUGCUGGGCUUCCCCGAGGCACCCCCGCUCUGGGGCUGGUGCUCGGUCCCUGGGCCCUGAGCGCCACGCUCUGACCUCUCCCUUGGUGCUUUCAGACCUUCACCCAGUGCCCACCGCUUCGGGCCGAGAAACGACUGGGUUAAGCGGUCGGGAGAUAAUAGAAUAAUCGAGUUGUAUUUAUUCCCCCUUUGACUCUCCUAGGAGAGCUGAGGACCGAGACUCACGGCAGCCAGAACGCAGAAAUCGCCCUCGGAGUCACCUCAGGACAGAGCCGCCCCCGCCAGUGCCACUUGGAACACCAAGCUGGUUUGGAACUUCAGCUCUCGCACUCACACCUUCCCUUGGCCCUCGCCUUUUGAAGCCAGAAGGCUGAAUUCAGAGAAAUCUCUGUAUUUUGGGCUCAUUCCAAG